RNAcentral lists this ribosomal RNA (177 nucleotides) under Gammaproteobacteria bacterium. RNAcentral's name for it is "partial 23S ribosomal RNA". It matches the Rfam family "Bacterial large subunit ribosomal RNA", at positions 2765 to 2925 of the family's 2925-position model. The record is from RNAcentral. Lineage: Bacteria; Pseudomonadati; Pseudomonadota; Gammaproteobacteria.
UAACCGCUGAAAGCAUCUAAGCGGGAAGCCUCACCCAAGAUAAGAUCUCCCUAGACUUUUAAAGUCUCUAAAGGUCCGUCGAAGACUACGACGUUGAUAGGCAGGGUGUGGAAGCACAGCAAUGUGUGAAGCUAACCUGUACUAAUUAACCGUGAGGCUUGAUCAUAUAACACCCAA